This 466-nucleotide ribosomal RNA is filed under the name Entrophospora claroidea. RNAcentral describes it as "partial 28S large subunit ribosomal RNA". It matches the Rfam family "Eukaryotic large subunit ribosomal RNA", at positions 194 to 606 of the family's 3401-position model. Lineage: Eukaryota; Fungi; Glomeromycota; Glomeromycetes; Entrophosporales; Entrophosporaceae. The record is from RNAcentral.
UCUUCCUCGUCAUAGAGGGUGACAAUCCCGUCUGCGACCGGUCGUGCGUUCAUCUACGAUACGCUUUCAAAGAGUCGAGUUGUUUGGGAUUGCAGCUCCAAAUGGGUGGUAAACAUCACCUAAGGCUAAAUAUUGGCGAGAGACCGAUAGCGAACAAGUACCGUGAGGGAAAGAUGAAAAGAACUUUGAAAAGAGAGUUAAACAGUACGUGAAAUUGUUGAAAGGGAAACGAUUGAAGUCAGUCGUGCUGGCGCGAAAUCAACCCUCUCGUCGAGAGGACACAUGGCGUGGCGAGCCUCAAAACCGUCACGAAGCGUGAACUCUUGGCGAAAAGGAGCACUUUCGUGUCCGCUGGUUAACAUCAAUUUCGAACGUCAUAAAAAGGCUGGAGGGAUGUGGCUCCUUCGGGAGUGUUAUAACCUUUAGCGGAAUGUGGUGGUCGGGAUUGAGGAUUGCAACGAAUACC